UCCUACGGGAGGCAGCAGUGAGGAAUAUUGGUCAAUGGAGGCAACUCUGAACCAGCCAUGCCGCGUGAAGGAUGACGGCCCUAUGGGUUGUAAACUUCUUUUAUAUGGGAAGAAACUUAUCUACGUGUAGAUAACUGACGGUACCAUACGAAUAAGGAUCGGCUAACUCCGUGCCAGCAGCCGCGGUAAUACGGAGGAUCCAAGCGUUAUCCGGAUUCAUUGGGUUUAAAGGGUCCGUAGGCGGAUCUUUAAGUCAGUGGUGAAAGCCGACAGCUUAACUGUCGAACUGCCAUUGAUACUGGAGAUCUUGAGUACAAAUGAAGUAGGCGGAAUGAGUCAUGUAGCGGUGAAAUGCAUAGAUAUGACUCAGAACACCGAUUGCGAAGGCAGCUUACUAACAUGUAACUGACGCUGAGGGACGGAAGCGUGGGGAGCGAACAGGAUUAGAUACCCUGGUAGUCCACGCUGUAAACGAUGAUUACUCGGUAUUGGCUUCGGUCAGUGCCCAAGCGAAAGUGAUAAGUAAUCCACCUGGGGAGUACGGCCGCAAGGUUGAAACUCAAAGGAAUUGACGGA
This 576-nucleotide ribosomal RNA is filed under the name uncultured bacterium. Its description in RNAcentral is "bacterial SSU rRNA". It matches the Rfam family "Bacterial small subunit ribosomal RNA", at positions 337 to 917 of the family's 1533-position model. The record is from RNAcentral.